This 371-nucleotide ribosomal RNA is filed under the name uncultured bacterium. RNAcentral describes it as "bacterial SSU rRNA". It matches the Rfam family "Bacterial small subunit ribosomal RNA", at positions 527 to 896 of the family's 1533-position model. The record is from RNAcentral.
AGAGGGUGCGAGCGUUGUCCGGAAUCACUGGGCGUAAAGGGCGCGUAGGUGGUCUGAUAAGGGUGUGGUGAAAGCCCGGGGCUCAACCCCGGGUCGGCCGUGCCGACUGUUGGACUAGAGUGCUGUAGGGGCAGGCGGAAUUCCGGGUGUAGCGGUGGAAUGCGUAGAGAUCCGGAGGAAGACCGGUGGCGAAGGCGGCCUGCUGGGCAGUUACUGACACUGAGGCGCGACAGCGUGGGGAGCAAACAGGAUUAGAUACCCUGGUAGUCCACGCCGUAAACGAUGGGUACUAGGUGCCUGGGGGAGCGACCCCUUGGGUGCCGGCGCUAACGCAGGAAGUACCCCGCCUGGGGAGUACGACCGCAAGGUUG